AAUGUAAAAAGGAAAUUGGAGAAAUUUUGGGAAAGUUUUAGAGGAAGCAUAAAUUGGUAGUGCCUCUCCCAAAUGGUGCAACUUAGACUUUCCAUUCCCUUCAUACUCUCCUCCUCAUAGCAUCCAACACCUACCUCUACAAAAACGACGCUAUCUCAGGUCCCUCCAUCUUUGCAUCGGCCUCUUCUUCUUCGACUCCUGCUCAUUUCGUUCACUGUACUCCCCGAAGACCCAUUUCGGCGUUGAACUGGCCCAGUAUAGUAAUACAGACAAAACCCAUAUGCCCAUCUGCUCAGCUCCAUAGCCAAUUUCUUCGAAGACGCACCGUCACAGAGCCCAACUUCAACAGCACUCCAUCGUACAGCUCCUUCUCGCAAAAUCGACCUAUUUCUCUGCUGCCUACAACAAAGGCAUCCUAUUCUUCUUUAGGCAGCAGCUUAACGCCCUACUCAUAGAACCAUCAUACCCAUACUCACCUCAACACAAGGCCCAGCCCUGCAUUCACGCUCUCACUCAACGCACGCCUCCACAGACUCGCAUUGCGGCUUCAUCUUCGUUCAUUCAUUCGUCCUCCCCUCAUCAGUAGAGACACACCUUCAGUCCCCACAGGCUUAUAUUGGUCGGCUGCUUGUUUCUAUUGGCAAUUCCAUGUCCAGUUUAUCUUCCUCUAUCAACUGCUGUAGUGCAGGUGAUACCACUUACAAAGGAAGCUUGAAGGUGUAAGGCUGUACUACAAGGCAUCAAUGUGCAAUGUCAGGAAAAGAAAAUCCAAGGUCUUUGUGUCUGAUAGUACAAUGCAAAAAUGGAAGGAGGCAGGGAGUAGCCCAGAGUUCAAAGCUAAGAGCUAUUAAUUUAUUGCUAACUAUCGUAGUGAGACAAGGGAGCUAGGGAAGCUCAGCUUUGGCAGAGACCUCUUCCCUAUGAGCUUUUCUAUAAGACCCAUGCUAGGAAGGGCAACUCCGAUAUGGUUGAUGUAUGGGCACAAUCAAUUAAGACGCAUUUUUAAUGCUUAAGGAGUAGUCAUCUCAGCCACAAGAGGGAUGCAGCGACCCUCUUAUUGUGGAUGAGGAGCACUAUAUUAUCAGGCUGUAAGGGCGAGGGAAAAAGAAAAAUAGGGUUUAUGGCAUUAGAUUCCCAGCAUCAGUUUUCUACCCUGACUCACGCAUGGACCAUCUUCUACUGCAUCCCAUCAUGCUCAGUCGAAGGCAAUGAAGGAAGAGAUUCGAAAAUUGCACCAAACUGUCAAGACUCUAAAGGAUAGUCUGGCUAUAAUGGAAGAGAGAGACCAAUAAUGCAAGCAGAUGUUGGAGGAGAGAGAUUGACAACACGAGCAAAUGCUGGAGGAGAGACACCAACAUUGCGAGCAAAUGUUGGAGGAGAGACACCAGCAACUCGAGCAAACACUAGAGGAAUGCAUGCAAUAAAUGAUGCAGAACAUGAUGGUACAGAUUAUGCAGGGUGCACAGUUUAUAGCCUAAGCUUUGGAUGUUACUCACCAAGAUGAUUAUAAAGUUAUUGAUGCUGGUGAUGAAAUUAGUGAUGACAAUUAGCUUAUUGUUUUGUUCUUAUAAUAUUUUAUAUUUUUGUACACUACAUUAUUGUCGUAAC
Molecule: long non-coding RNA, 1608 nt
Organism: Hevea brasiliensis (rubber tree)
Lineage: Eukaryota; Viridiplantae; Streptophyta; Magnoliopsida; Malpighiales; Euphorbiaceae
Exons: 4
Source: RefSeq, a predicted model, not a curated record